Long non-coding RNA from Amaranthus tricolor (Joseph's coat), 743 nucleotides. RefSeq lists it as uncharacterized. NCBI's taxonomy places the organism in Eukaryota, Viridiplantae, Streptophyta, Magnoliopsida, Caryophyllales, Amaranthaceae. The record is from RefSeq and is a predicted model, not a curated record. The transcript is spliced from 3 exons.
UUAGACUAAAAUUUCUGAAAAAUCUCAUCCUCUUCCAAAAUAAAAAAAAUAAAAAAAAUAAAAUCAAUUUGAAAAAUUUUAGUUUACUUUUCCAUCCUAAGUUCAUAAACCUCCAUGAUUUAGGUAGUAUGUGUUUAUAUUAGAAACCCCAAAUUUCAAUUUAGGGUUCUUAAAAAUUCAAUUGAGAUCUCUACAAAAUUAGUAUGAAGUAUGGGAGCCAACUGAAGUGUUUUGAUGAUUGUAGCUAUUGUAGAAGAAGGAGAACACAUAUAGUACUAUCACCAUCUCCAUCUCUUUUGUGUUAGAAGCUUUUUAUGGUUAAUUAGAGUAGCAUCAAGAGGAGACUAGUUUGAAGUUCAUCAAACCAUUGAAGAACUUACUAGCUAAACUGGAUCUUGGUUCUGAUUUUCUGAAAUUUUGUGUGGAAUUAAUCUUGCUUAAAGUCUUUGAUGGGGCCUAUCCCUUAUGAGGGAUAGAUCCAUUUUCAGGUUAGCUCUGCGGUAGAGAGGAUGUCUACAUGUAUUAUGUGUUUCGGGCGAGGCGAGGAAUUCUUUUGAAAUACAUUUUGUAAAUUAGUUAUUCGUAAAUUAAAAUGUAAUAAUUUCAUAAUAUUUUGUAAAUAGUAUUUACUUAUUUAUGUAAAAAGUUUUAAAUAACUCUGAUAUUAGUUGCUGUGAUCAGCGAAUCACAGGUCAGAUUCAGUCCAGACCACUAUAAGUAUUAUGAUAUUAGUUAUGUACAGA